Molecule: non-coding RNA, 1040 nt
Organism: Gasterosteus aculeatus aculeatus (three-spined stickleback)
Lineage: Eukaryota; Metazoa; Chordata; Actinopteri; Perciformes; Gasterosteidae
Source: RefSeq, a predicted model, not a curated record
CCUUCCGUCUCGAUAUUCGAGCUACUCAACAUGAGUCUCCACGAUUCAAUGUUUUUUUGUGGCUUGGCGAUUAUUAUAAUUUUUUAUCUUCAGCACCGAGAAAGAGGGAAGAUUCCCGGCCACCGAGCACAGAACUCGUUGGGUUUCUCUGUGCCAAAGCUUCAAAAAGACGCCACAAACCCGGCCAUUGUGGGAUGGAGAGAGAGGCUGAGCGAGCCUGGUGGACACGUCUGAAUAGUGUGAUGGGAGCGGGGGGGUGGAGAGAGCCGCACACAGGAGGACGGUUUAUCACCGCCGUGUGAGUUGAAUAGCAAUCGGCUAAUAGCUGAAGCGGCUUGCAGGUGUACGAGGACUCUGAAAAAAAGGGGCGUGUAAAACGAAGGGAUUUUUUAAAAAAGGGAUAAAAAGAAGAGGGUGAGACCAAAAGAGGGCGAAGUGUUCCAGAGACACUCUGACCCACUUUGAUUCAACCGUUGGCAGCGGGCGUCUGAUUGAUCGCAUAACGAACCGGCAGCAGAACCCAGACACACAGACACCUUUCAAACGAGCCACACAGUGAAGACAUUUACGGCUGGAAGGAAACCAACGUCAUCCAAUCAACCGAUCUGCAGUGCAAAUUUAAGAAGAAUUUCUUUGGUCCAAUUUACAGCGUAAAAUCUAAUUCUGCAAAAUGUGCAACUACAUAAAACAGGAAGCCGCGGCGGACAUUCCUCACAGGGACGCUAAAGAACCUGAACACAGCCAAAGAGUCCAGACGGGACUCUUCAGACGAAGCAGCGGCGUCUGCAGGAAGCUGCGGGCGCAAAACAACACGGCGAGGAGGAAGCGACCCGGUGGAUCACGGCGGGACGUCCCACUCGCCUGUGGGGGGGGGCUUUUGUUUUUUGGGCAUUCGUGGGCCACGAGAGAACAAAACAGCUUUCGCAGGCACCACAUCCUCGUUCCUGACGCAAGGACCAUCGGGGGGAGAUUCACUCACCUGGGCGUAGUCCCUCUCCACCGCCGCCCGCUUUUGGCUAAAAGUCCUAAAAAAAAAAAAA